AUUCAUAUAUUUUAUUAAGAAUUUAAUAUUGAAGAUAUUAAGGGGAUAUUUAUAUCUGUGAAUA
This 64-nucleotide transfer RNA is filed under the name Sipyloidea sipylus. RNAcentral describes it as "tRNA-Phe". Lineage: Eukaryota; Metazoa; Arthropoda; Insecta; Phasmatodea; Lonchodidae. The record is from RNAcentral.